Pan troglodytes (chimpanzee) is the source of this 147-nucleotide non-coding RNA. It matches the Rfam family "Metazoan signal recognition particle RNA". From Rfam's summary of the family: The signal recognition particle (SRP) is a universally conserved ribonucleoprotein. The record is from Rfam. Lineage: Eukaryota; Metazoa; Chordata; Mammalia; Primates; Hominidae.
GCCAGGCAUGGUGGCGUAUGCCUGUAGUCCCAGCUACUCGGGAGGCUGAGGUGGGAGGAUCGCUUGAAUCCAGGAAUUGGAGGCAGCAGUGAGCUAUGAUCUCACCACACACCCCAGCCUGGGUGACAGAGCGAGACCCCAUCUCAA